AACAGGAUUAGAUACCCUGGUAGUCCACGCCGUAAACGAUGUCGACUUGGAGGUUGUUCCCUUGAGGAGUGGCUUCCGGAGCUAACGCGUUAAGUCGACCGCCUGGGGAGUACGGCCGCAAGGUUAAAACUCAAAUGAAUUGACGGGGGCUCGCACAAGCGGUGGAGCAUGUGGUUUAAUUCGAUGCAACGCGAAGAACCUUACCUACUCUUGACAUCCAGAGAACUUAGCAGAGAUGCUUUGGUGCCUUCGGGAACUCUGAGACAGGUGCUGCAUGGCUGUCGUCAGCUCGUGUUGUGAAAUGUUGGGUUAAGUCCCGCAACGAGCGCAACCCUUAUCCUUUGUUGCCAGCGGUCCGGCCGGGAACUCAAAGGAGACUGCCAGUGAUAAACUGGAGGAAGGUGGGGAUGACGUCAAGUCAUCAUGGCCCUUACGAGUAGGGCUACACACGUGCUACAAUGGCGCAUACAAAGAGAAGCGACCUCGCGAGAGCAAGCGGACCUCAUAAAGUGCGUCGUAGUCCGGAUUGGAGUCUGCAACUCGACUCCAUGAAGUCGGAAUCGCUAGUAAUCGUAGAUCAGAAUGCUACGGUGAAUACGUUCCCGGGCCUUGUACACACCGCCCGUCACACCAUGGGAGUGGGUUGCAAAAGAAGUAGGUAGCUUAACCUUCGGGAGGGCGCUUACCACUUUGUGAUUCAUGACUGGGGUGAAGUCGUAACAAGGUAACC
RNAcentral lists this ribosomal RNA (730 nucleotides) under uncultured bacterium. Its description in RNAcentral is "bacterial SSU rRNA". It matches the Rfam family "Bacterial small subunit ribosomal RNA", at positions 771 to 1501 of the family's 1533-position model. The record is from RNAcentral.